AUACGGAGGGGGCUAGCGUUGUUCGGAAUUACUGGGCGUAAAGCGCGCGUAGGCGGCUUAUCAAGUUAGGCGUGAAAGGCCUGGGCUCAACCCGGGAACUGCGCUUAAUACUGAUAGACUAGAGACCGAGAGAGGAUGGCGGAAUUCCCAGUGUAGAGGUGAAAUUCGUAGAUAUUGGGAAGAACACCGGUUGCGAAGGCGGCCAUCUGGAUCGGAACUGACGCUGGGGUGCGAAAGCGUGGGGAGCGAACAGGAUUAGAAACCCGAGUAGUCC
RNAcentral lists this ribosomal RNA (274 nucleotides) under uncultured bacterium. RNAcentral's name for it is "partial 16S ribosomal RNA". It matches the Rfam family "Bacterial small subunit ribosomal RNA", at positions 523 to 796 of the family's 1533-position model. The record is from RNAcentral.